This is a long non-coding RNA of Neofelis nebulosa (Clouded leopard), 563 nucleotides long. RefSeq lists it as uncharacterized. Lineage: Eukaryota; Metazoa; Chordata; Mammalia; Carnivora; Felidae. The transcript has 3 exons. The record is from RefSeq and is a predicted model, not a curated record.
UAGCUCUGAAAUUUAAGGUGUGCUCGGCUGGUUUGGGUUCUAAAAACACUGGAACUCUAAAAUGAAGUCUGAUGGAUGACAAUCUGUGUUGAGGCACACCAGAGUAUCCUUUAAAAGCAUUUUAAAAUCAGCUCCAACAUCAAAGCAAACAAGGAGCCAGGACUGAAACCAGCUUUAAAUGGGUCUUCAUAUUUGUUUUUUAGCCAUGUUGCUCAGAAGGUCUUAGUACGUCUCCCUCAGUCAUCUCUGAUGUCAUGGUAUCCUGUAUGUAGAGUUUGAAGCCACUGAAAAUAGUAUUUUGCUCUUCACUUUGGCUAUUUCAAGGAUUUAGAGAGAACUUACUUGAAGAAAUUCAUUUCACAAAGGACAUCAUUGAAAACAUUGGUUAUAUUACCAGAACUUUGACUGGAAUGCCAUAUUUGAGAGAGACAUGCAUAGACUCAGAGAUGACCAGACAGCUUUAAGGAACUAAGAUGGACUUUAUGCAGCCAAUGAAGCUCCUUGGAAAAAAAAUCAGCCCGAUACCUUGCUUACAGAGUUCCCAGCAGCCUUACCAGGUGAGU